GUUCUGUGACUGAGUGGCGGACGGGUGAGUAACGCGUGGAUAACCUGCCUUACACAGGGGGAUAACAGUUGGAAACGACUGCUAAUACCGCAUAAGCGCACAGCACCGCAUGGUGCAGUGUGAAAAACUCCGGUGGUGUGAGAUGGAUCCGCGUCUGAUUAGCUAGUUGGCGGGGUAACGGCCCACCAAGGCGACGAUCAGUAGCCGGCCUGAGAGGGCGACCGGCCACAUUGGGACUGAGACACGGCCCAGACUCCUACGGGAGGCAGCAGUGGGGAAUAUUGCACAAUGGGGGAAACCCUGAUGCAGCGACGCCGCGUGAGCGAUGAAGUAUUUCGGUAUGUAAAGCUCUAUCAGCAGGGAAGAUAAUGACGGUACCUGACUAAGAAGCUCCGGCUAAAUACGUGCCAGCAGCCGCGGUAAUACGUAUGGAGCAAGCGUUAUCCGGAUUUACUGGGUGUAAAGGGAGCGUAGGCGGUCCUGCAAGUCUGAUGUGAAAGGCCGGGGCUCAACCCCGGGACUGCAUUGGAAACUGUAGGACUAGAGUGUCGGAGGGGUAAGUGGAAUUCCUAGUGUAGCGGUGAAAUGCGUAGAUAUUAGGAGGAACACCAGUGGCGAAGGCGGCUUA
RNAcentral lists this ribosomal RNA (628 nucleotides) under uncultured Lachnospiraceae bacterium. RNAcentral describes it as "bacterial SSU rRNA". It matches the Rfam family "Bacterial small subunit ribosomal RNA", at positions 82 to 728 of the family's 1533-position model. The record is from RNAcentral. Lineage: Bacteria; Bacillati; Bacillota; Clostridia; Lachnospirales; Lachnospiraceae.